Molecule: unclassified non-coding RNA, 299 nt
Organism: Callithrix jacchus (white-tufted-ear marmoset)
Lineage: Eukaryota; Metazoa; Chordata; Mammalia; Primates; Cebidae
Rfam family: Metazoan signal recognition particle RNA
About the family: The signal recognition particle (SRP) is a universally conserved ribonucleoprotein. It is involved in the co-translational targeting of proteins to membranes.
Source: Ensembl
GCUAGGCACAGUGGUGCAUGCCUGUAGUUCCAGCUACUUGGGAGGCUGCAGCAGGAGGAUCGCUGGAGCCCAGGAAUUCUGGGCUAUGGUGCACUAUGCUGAUUGGACGUCUACACUAAGUUUGACAUCAGUAUGGUGGCCUCCUGAGAGCAGGGGACCACCAGGUUACCUAGGAUGGGUGAACUGGCUCAGGUCGGACACGGAGCAGGUGAAAACUCCCAUGCUGAUCAGUAGUGGAACGGUGCCUGUGAAUAGCCACUGCACUCCAGCCUGGGCAAUAUAGUGAGACCCUAUCUCUA